AGAGCGAACGCUGGCGGCAGGCUUAACACAUGCAAGUCGAACGGAUCCUUCGGGAUUAGUGGCGGACGGGUGAGUAACACGUGGGAACGUGCCUUUGGUUCGGAACAACUCAGGGAAACUUGAGCUAAUACCGGAUGUGCCCUUCGGGGGAAAGAUUUAUCGCCAUUAGAGCGGCCCGCGUCUGAUUAGCUAGUUGGUGAGGUAAAAGCUCACCAAGGCGACGAUCAGUAGCUGGUCUGAGAGGAUGACCAGCCACAUUGGGACUGAGACACGGCCCAAACUCCUACGGGAGGCAGCAGUGGGGAAUCUUGCGCAAUGGGCGAAAGCCUGACGCAGCCAUGCCGCGUGGAUGAUGAAGGUCUUAGGAUUGUAAAAUCCUUUCAGCGGGGACGAUAAUGACGGUACCGCAGAAGAAGCCCCGGCUAACUUCGCGCCAGCAGCCGC
RNAcentral lists this ribosomal RNA (444 nucleotides) under uncultured bacterium. Its description in RNAcentral is "SSU rRNA". It matches the Rfam family "Bacterial small subunit ribosomal RNA", at positions 26 to 518 of the family's 1533-position model. The record is from RNAcentral.